UAUGGUUGCCUGCCUUCCCUGUUCCUUUAACCACACACACCACCCAGUCAAUACCUGAAAAGGAGAGUCCAGGCAUCCUGCACCCAUUGGUACAAAAUUCCUGGAUAUUGUCACUUUCCUGUCACCUAGCUCCAUUCUUGGAUAUAUUUAACUCCUAACAUCUCAGUGUUGUCUUCUUUUCCCUCUCCACAUCCAGAUCUUUGGACCUUUAUUCAUGUUUGUUUAUUCACUUAUUAUUUAUUUCUGCUACCAAUAUUGUUGCCAUCCUGUGCAAGUGCUGUACCGAGGGUGUAUGUGAUGGAGAACAAACAAAGGAGGCUCCUGCGCUCUUAGGAUUUGCAGUUUGGUACCCACCAGUGGGUGUGACCCUGGGCACCCAUGCAUGGAUAUGAUGUCUGUACCUGCCUUUUGCCUUCAUCUGGACUUGCCAGGAAACCACACAGCCUAGUCCAAACCCUCCCUUGAGACUAUACCAACACAUCAGCCUACCUGACCAGCAUCCCUGGUCCCUGACAGUGGGUAUCAGACACAUGGGACAUCUGACCACCUUGGGUUUGCUCACCACCUAGCAUGGGGCCUGUACUAAAUACAAAGUCUCUUCGGUUGGGUUUGUGUCUUCCUCCCAGUUCCACUGAAAUUGCUCUGGUUGAGAUCACCGAUGUCCUCCAUCUGCCACAUCUGUGUCCUCCUCUAACCCCACCUUUCAGAAGUAUUCCAUUCUGUUGGCCGCCCCUUCGUGAAACUUUCUCUCCCCUUGGAGUUGAGGACACCGCGUAUAAUAGAUGCUCUGAUGUGCCACCCAGAUUCCUCCUGCAAGACCAAGGACCUCAUGGCUCCAGCUACCAGGAGCAUCGGUAGCUGACAGCCCGGGGGUCAGCCCAUCCCUGGGGGUUGCCCUCAGAUGGAGGAAGCUGACCUGACCAAACUUAUGCCCCCUCCCACGGACAGCCCACAUGCAAGGGCUGGUCGAUGUGGGGAUACAGAGUCCAGCCCCGAUUGCAACUUGGGGACACUAUAGAGGACCGUCCCAGCUGCAGAGCUGCCCACUGUACAACCUGAGGCUCUGCUGCAACAGCAUCACGCCAUUCGCUUCCUCUCUGUACCUCAGCCUGCUCUGUAUUUCCCCAAAGGUGUUAUUCCCCAUGCCUCCCAAAAUCUGUCUCCAGGGGUCCCAACCUAACAUACCGAAGUCUCCUGGUUUCCCUCUUACCUUUGUUUUCUGUCAGCUGAAUUUCUCACGAGUUCAUUUAACUGGUUUCUUUUCUGAUUCAACUUUAAAAUACCUUUAAAAAAAAAAGUUAUUAAACUUUCUAUUUUAGACCAGU
Non-coding RNA from Microcebus murinus (gray mouse lemur), 1325 nucleotides. NCBI's taxonomy places the organism in Eukaryota, Metazoa, Chordata, Mammalia, Primates, Cheirogaleidae. The record is from RefSeq and is a predicted model, not a curated record.